RNAcentral lists this transfer RNA (65 nucleotides) under Hygia sp. RNAcentral's name for it is "tRNA-Tyr". The record is from RNAcentral. Lineage: Eukaryota; Metazoa; Arthropoda; Insecta; Hemiptera; Coreidae.
GAUAAGAUGGCUGAAGAUUUAGGCUAUAAAUUGUAAAUUUAUAUAUGGUAAAUAACCUCUUAUCA